RNAcentral lists this ribosomal RNA (559 nucleotides) under uncultured Alphaproteobacteria bacterium. RNAcentral's name for it is "bacterial SSU rRNA". It matches the Rfam family "Bacterial small subunit ribosomal RNA", at positions 338 to 916 of the family's 1533-position model. Lineage: Bacteria; Pseudomonadati; Pseudomonadota; Alphaproteobacteria. The record is from RNAcentral.
CCUACGGGAGGCAGCAGUGGGGAAUAUUGGACAAUGGGGGCAACCCUGAUCCAGCAAUGCCGCGUGUGUGAUGAAGGCCUUAGGGUUGUAAAGCACUUUCACUGGUGAAGAUGAUGACGGUAACCAGAGAAGAAGCCCCGGCUAACUUCGUGCCAGCAGCCGCGGUAAUACGAAGGGGGCGAGCGUUGUUCGGAAUUACUGGGCGUAAAGGGCGCGUAGGCGGUCUUUUAAGUUAGGCGUGAAAGCCCCGGGCUCAACCUGGGAACUGCGCUUAAAACUGGAAGACUAGAAAACGGAAGAGGGUAGUGGAAUUCCCAGUGUAGAGGUGAAAUUCGUAGAUAUUGGGAAGAACACCAGUGGCGAAAGCGGCUACCUGGUCCGAUUUUGACGCUGAGGCGCGAAAGCGUGGGGAGCAAACAGGAUUAGAUACCCUGGUAGUCCACGCCGUAAACGAUGUCUGCUAGAUGUCGGGGGGUUGCCCCUCGGUGUCGCCGCUAACGCAUUAAGCAGACCGCCUGGGAAGUACGGUCGCAAGAUUAAAACUCAAAGGAAUUGACGG